AUUGAACGCUGGCGGCAGGCCUAACACAUGCAAGUCGAGCGGAUGAAGGGAGCUUGCUCCUGGCUUCAGCGGCGGACGGGUGAGUAAUGCCUAGGAAUCUGCCUGGUAGUGGGGGAUAACGUCCGGAAAUGGGCGCUAAUACCGCAUACGUCCUGAGGGAGAAAGUGGGGGAUCAUUGGACCUCACGCUAUCAGAUGAGCCUAGGUCGGAUUAGCUAGUAGUUGGGGUAAAGGCCUACCAAGGCGACGAUCCGUAACUGGUCUGAGAGGAUGAGCAGUCAGCCUGGAACUGAGACACGGUCCACACUUCUACAGUAGGCAGCAGUGGAGAAUACUGCACGAGGGAGGAAAGGCUAAUCCAGCACUGUCGCGUGUGUGAAGAAGGUCUUCGGAUUGUAGAGCACAUUAAGUUGGGAGGAAGGGCAGUAAGUUAAUACCUUGCUGUUUUGACGUUACCAAAAGAAUAAGCACCGGCUAACUUCGUG
RNAcentral lists this ribosomal RNA (484 nucleotides) under uncultured bacterium. Its description in RNAcentral is "partial 16S ribosomal RNA". It matches the Rfam family "Bacterial small subunit ribosomal RNA", at positions 30 to 507 of the family's 1533-position model. The record is from RNAcentral.